Molecule: microRNA precursor, 59 nt
Filed under: Gekko japonicus
Lineage: Eukaryota; Metazoa; Chordata; Lepidosauria; Squamata; Gekkonidae
Description: Gja-Mir-133-P2-v1_pre stem-loop
Rfam family: mir-133 microRNA precursor family
About the family: mir-133 was first experimentally characterised in mouse and homologues have since been discovered in several other species.
Source: RNAcentral
GCUGGUCAAAUGGAACCAAGGCCGUCUUCCUGGGAGGUUUGGUCCCCUUCAACCAGCUA